CCUACGGGCGGCAGCAGUGAGGAAUAUUGGUCAAUGGACGAGAGUCUGAACCAGCCAAGUAGCGUGAAGGAUGACUGCCCUAUGGGUUGUAAACUUCUUUUAUAUGGGAAUAAAGUGUUCCACGUGUGGGAUUUUGUAUGUACCAUAUGAAUAAGGAUCGGCUAACUCCGUGCCAGCAGCCGCGGUAAUACGGAGGAUCCGAGCGUUAUCCGGAUUUAUUGGGUUUAAAGGGAGCGUAGGUGGAUUGUUAAGUCAGUUGUGAAAGUUUGCGGCUCAACCGUAAAAUUGCAGUUGAAACUGGCAGUCUUGAGUACAGUAGAGGUGGGCGGAAUUCGUGGUGUAGCGGUGAAAUGCUUAGAUAUCACGAAGAACUCCGAUUGCGAAGGCAGUUCACUGGACUGCAACUGACAUUGAGGCUCGAAAGUGUGGGUAUCAAACAGGAUUAGAUACCCCUGUAGUC
Molecule: ribosomal RNA, 460 nt
Filed under: uncultured bacterium
Lineage: Bacteria
Description: partial 16S ribosomal RNA
Rfam family: Bacterial small subunit ribosomal RNA
Source: RNAcentral